Molecule: ribosomal RNA, 450 nt
Filed under: uncultured bacterium
Lineage: Bacteria
Description: bacterial SSU rRNA
Rfam family: Bacterial small subunit ribosomal RNA
Source: RNAcentral
UACGGAAGGCAGCAGUGGGGAAUAUUGCACAAUGGGCGCAAGCCUGAUGCAGCCAUGCCGCGUGUAUGAAAAAGGCCUUCGGGUUGUAAAGUACUUUCAGUCGUGAGGAAGGUGUUAAGGUUAAUAACCUUAGCAAUUGACGUUAGCGACAGAAGAAGCACCGGCUAACUCCGUGCCAGCAGCCGCGGUAAUACGGAGGGUGCGAGCGUUAAUCGGAAUUACUGGGCGUAAAGGGCACGCAGGCGGUUAAUUAAGUUGGAUGUGAAAUCCCCGGGCUUAACCUGGGAAUGGCAUUCAAGACUGGUUAGCUAGAGUCUUGUAGAGGGGGUAGAAUUCCAUGUGUAGCGGUGAAAUGCGUAGAGAUGUGGAGGAAUACCGGUGGCGAAGGCGGCCCCUGGCAAAGACUGACGCUCAUGUGCGAAAGCGUGGGGAGCAAACAGGGAUUAGAUA